UCGACGGAGCUACUUCGGCGUAUCCCUUC
RNAcentral lists this small RNA (29 nucleotides) under Bombyx mori (domestic silkworm). RNAcentral describes it as "ovarian small RNA-28314". Lineage: Eukaryota; Metazoa; Arthropoda; Insecta; Lepidoptera; Bombycidae. The record is from RNAcentral.